CGUCAAUUCAGAGAAACUGAAACUUUAAAAGAGAGGCGGGACAUUUGGUGAAACUAGUACCGUAUAUUUAUUUACGUCUUUUUGUGGAAAUAUGCUCACAGUAAAGGAUACCGACGCACAACGGACAGCGUUAGAUAGAAACAGGUUGAACAGGCGCUUCCACAGUAGCCGACUGACAAGACACGUUAUUACUUGUGAAUUAGGGCACGUAACAGCGAUUAUUUUGUUAUCUAUCAGAAACUGUAUAGCAGUAAACCAUGGCAACGUCGUAUUAAUAUUUAUGCAUAAAUAUGCAUGAAUGCUAUUCAGCUAUUAUCACAGACCUACCUAUUCUGUAUAUUACAGACUAGGUCUUGUUCAAAGCCAUGUACAAGGGAACCUUUGAGGAAUUGGAGUACAGGGACACGUUCGAGGAGAAUAUGCCUUGGUUUUACCAGGAUGAAUGCGGGGAGUGGCGUAUGUUUGCGGAAAAUCCAAGUGAAAAGUGUACUCUGACCAGUAGGGACAUUGAACGAAACUACUGUAGGAACUGGAAUGGAUUUAUGCUAUACCGCUUGGACAAUUGUAUUUACAGAUUGGAUUUCUCAGAGAUGAAACAGAUAAACCUAACAACUGGAAAGCAGCGGGAAAUUAAGCGGGCCCGCCAUUCUACAGCUGCCCACAGCUCACUUCAUAGUAAGCCAACACACCCUGUUCCCUCCCACUGGGAAAAAGACUUACCUUUUCAGGUAAAGUGAAAGAAGGAGGAUGCCGGCUCAUCCCACUGGACAGUAGUACGAAAGAAUGUAAAGAGGUAGUGAAGAUGUUUGCAGAGACAAUGCCUAAUGUCCCCAUCAGAUCAAUAAUGAGGAUACAGAACUUCAAACUGUGGGAUUCCUUUUGCCGGAAGAAAGCACAACUGACACAGAUCAAACAAAUGCCUAUCGAUGAGAGAAUGUUGUUCCACGGUACAGCCUACAAAAACAUUUGGUCCAUAUGUGCUGCUAAUUUUGACUUGAAGUUCGCGGGAAGACAUGGUUCUGUCCAUGGAAAAGGGAUUUAUUUUGCAAGACAUGCAAGCUACGCAAAUAAAUUCUGUGGUGUCCCAAAGAGCCAGAAUAGCGUAUUGCCAUCAAAGACCAUGAUCCUGGCUCGAGUGCUGGUCGGAGAGUACACACAGGGUGAGAGAAGUCUGUGUCAAGUCCCAUCCAAAGACAAGACCAUGACAAGCUUCUAUGACAGCUGUAUAGAUGAUUUCAAUUACCCUAAAACUUUUGUGAUCUUUAACAGCAACCAGAUAUACCCCGAAUAUUUGAUUGAGUUCUAGCGAUGGUUGCUCAGAGUGAUUAAACAAAACUCAAAAUGGCCGAACUGAAGAGAAGUUAAAAUAGCACUAUACUUCUGGCAUUACACUUCUUAGAUUUUAUGUCAGUCAUGACAUAAACAUUUUAUUGGGGAUAGGGAUAUGGUCGGAAGGUGGAAGAAAUACUUUGAGGAACUCCUGAAUCUGACAGACACACUCACAAGGCUGAGCUGGAGAAAUCUGGGGUAUCAGAGUCUAUUUCUGUGGCAGAAGUCACUGGGGUGGUUGGAGAGGUCCUCAGUGGCAGAGCACCAGGGAUGGAUGAGAUUCAUCCAGAAAUUAUUUUCAAAAGCAAAGCAAAUUCAGCAAAGUUCAGUUUCAUUUUAUAUAUGAUUUGGGCUGCAAAUGGUUCACCUUUCACUCAUUCUUCUUAAAAAGGGCUUGCUCUUUUUUACUCUCAUUACUUUCUUAUAUACUGUAAGUGAGUAUACCAUUUUCUAUACCAUUUUCAUUACAUUCAUAAAGGUUGGUGUUACAGAAGGAUCUUAUCAGCUAAUUAUGUGUCCAUAAUAAAUGUAGGAAAUUG
RNA transcript from Anguilla anguilla (European eel), 1868 nucleotides. It is a transcript of the gene named protein mono-ADP-ribosyltransferase PARP11-like, with no coding region annotated. The transcript is spliced from 7 exons. The record is from RefSeq and is a predicted model, not a curated record. Lineage: Eukaryota; Metazoa; Chordata; Actinopteri; Anguilliformes; Anguillidae.